CAGGAGUCCGGUGGAAAGGCAAUCUCUAGGGAGGGACUGUUGGUAGGUGUCUGAGAGCUGCUCAUUUCCCCAGCCGCGGCCGGGGCUCUGCCCAGGAACUCUCCCAGUCCCGGCCCGAGGCUCCUUCCCGCGCAGGGAGCACAGAGCAGCCAAUGGGAGCGAGGCUGAGCAGGGGCUGGGGAAACCCCGUGCCGCCCUCACGGCCCCUCGCCCGGGGCUGCGCCAUGGCGGGGCGACGAGAGCCCGGCACACCACAGACCUGCGAGAGCAUUUCUGGCCACAGCCAAGACUUCUUGCAGGUUUGCUGAGGAGGAGAUGAGGUUCAAUCCAUCCAGACUCCCCCACUUCCUUCUGGGAGAGGACCACAGGAGAGAGCAUUGACACAACAGUGGAGGAGAGAGGAAGAGGAAAGCAACCAGUGCAAUGAUGUCCACAGGUCUGCAGGAGCAGGGCUCUCUUCUCAGCAGCUGCAAAGAAGUGGAGUAAGAAACUAUCUGAGGGACAAUGACUCCCGUUUCUGACACUGUCACUCCAGCCCUGGAUUGCACCAACGUUGCUGAAGCUGACACUUUAAUAUAAAGCAACUUGUGCAUUGCAGCAAAGAAACUAAACUAAAUCAGAGCACUUAUCUUGUGUAAACAUGACCUUCAUGUCCAGCAUUCAUUUGACACUCUCUGCUAAAACAACUCUACCUCCAACUAAAAUCAUCUGAAAUGAGGGCUUUGAACUGCUGGCACCAAGACUGCAGCUCCAGAGGGACUAAUAAAUGUAUAUGGUUUCCCCUU
Molecule: long non-coding RNA, 785 nt
Organism: Corvus hawaiiensis (hawaiian crow)
Lineage: Eukaryota; Metazoa; Chordata; Aves; Passeriformes; Corvidae
Exons: 3
Source: RefSeq, a predicted model, not a curated record